AGUGAACGCUGGCGGUAGGCCUAACACAUGCAAGUCGAACGGCAGCACAGUAAGAGCUUGCUCUUAUGGGUGGCGAGUGGCGGACGGGUGAGGAAUACAUCGGAAUCUACCUUUUCGUGGGGGAUAACGUAGGGAAACUUACGCUAAUACCGCAUACGACCUUCGGGUGAAAGCAGGGGACCUUCGGGCCUUGCGCGGAUAGAUGAGCCGAUGUCGGAUUAGCUAGUUGGCGGGGUAAAGGCCCACCAAGGCGACGAUCCGUAGCUGGUCUGAGAGGAUGAUCAGCCACACUGGAACUGAGACACGGUCCAGACUCCUACGGGAGGCAGCAGUGGGGAAUAUUGGACAAUGGGCGCAAGCCUGAUCCAGCCAUACCGCGUGGGUGAAGAAGGCCUUCGGGUUGUAAAGCCCUUUUGUUGGGAAAGAAAAGCAGUCGAUUAAUACUCGGUUGUUCUGACGGUACCCAAAG
This 469-nucleotide ribosomal RNA is filed under the name Stenotrophomonas maltophilia. Its description in RNAcentral is "bacterial SSU rRNA". It matches the Rfam family "Bacterial small subunit ribosomal RNA", at positions 29 to 484 of the family's 1533-position model. Lineage: Bacteria; Pseudomonadati; Pseudomonadota; Gammaproteobacteria; Lysobacterales; Lysobacteraceae. The record is from RNAcentral.